This 76-nucleotide small RNA is filed under the name Flavobacterium xinjiangense. RNAcentral's name for it is "Flavo-1 RNA". It matches the Rfam family "Flavo-1 RNA". Lineage: Bacteria; Pseudomonadati; Bacteroidota; Flavobacteriia; Flavobacteriales; Flavobacteriaceae. The record is from RNAcentral.
UUUUAGCCCCGAUGGAAACGGCAUCCUGUUGUGGCGGUGUUCGCCAUGGCAGAUAUAGUGUACAGCGGGAUUAGCU